RNAcentral lists this unclassified non-coding RNA (346 nucleotides) under soil metagenome. RNAcentral describes it as "partial contains 5.8S ribosomal RNA, internal transcribed spacer 2, and large subunit ribosomal RNA". The stretch from base 1 to 120 matches the Rfam family "5.8S ribosomal RNA", at positions 35 to 154 of the family's 154-position model. The record is from RNAcentral.
GAUGAAGAACGUAGCGAAAUGCGAUGCGUAAUGUGAAUUGCAGAAUUCAGUGAAUCAUCGAGUCUUUGAACGCACAUUGCGCCCCCUGGUAUUCCGGGGGGCAUGCCUGUCCGAGCGUCAUUGCUGCCCUCAAGCCCGGCUUGUGUGUUGGGUCUCGUCCCCCUUCCCGGGGGGACGGGCCCGAAAGGCAGCGGCGGCACCGCGUCCGGUCCUCGAGCGUAUGGGGCUUUGUCACCCGCUCUGUAGGCCCGGCCGGCGCUUGCCGAUCAACCAAAACUUUUUUCCAGGUUGACCUCGGAUCAGGUAGGGAUACCCGCUGAACUUAAGCAUAUCAAUAAGCGGAGGA